This 444-nucleotide ribosomal RNA is filed under the name uncultured bacterium. RNAcentral describes it as "bacterial SSU rRNA". It matches the Rfam family "Bacterial small subunit ribosomal RNA", at positions 331 to 792 of the family's 1533-position model. The record is from RNAcentral.
CCAGACUCCUACGGGAGGCAGCAGUGGGGGAUAUUGCACAAUGGGGGAAACCCUGAUGCAGCGACGCCGCGUGAGGGAAGACGGUUUUCGGAUUGUAAACCUCUGUCUUUGGGGACGAAUUGAGACGGUACCCAAGGAGGAAGCUCCGGCUAACUACGUGCCAGCAGCCGCGGUAAUACGUAGGGAGCAAGCGUUGUCCGGAAUUACUGGGUGUAAAGGGAGCGUAGGCGGGAUAGUAAGUUGAUUGUUAAAACUAUCGGCUCAACUGGUAGAUGCGAUCAAAACUGCAAUUCUUGAGUGAAGUAGAGGCAGGCGGAAUUCCUAGUGUAGCGGUGAAAUGCGUAGAUAUUAGGAGGAACACCAGUGGCGAAGGCGGCCUGCUGGGCUUUAACUGACGCUGAGGCUCGAAAGUGUGGGUAGCAAACAGGAUUAGAUACCCCGGUA